This 382-nucleotide ribosomal RNA is filed under the name uncultured eukaryote. RNAcentral's name for it is "partial 18S ribosomal RNA". It matches the Rfam family "Eukaryotic small subunit ribosomal RNA", at positions 592 to 976 of the family's 1831-position model. The record is from RNAcentral.
UGUAAGCGUAUACCAAAGUUGUUGCAGUUAAAACGCUCGUAGUCGGAAUUUGGCAGUUCCGGAUGUGUGCACGUCGUGUGCGCACUUCGCGGGGAUUGCUUUUGUGGUCUUGCGUAGGAUGAGGCACUUUUAUUAGUGCACGUCCUCACGCAACCACUUUUUACUGUGAGAAAAUCAGAGUGCUCAAAGCAGGCAUUUGCCGUGAAUGUAUUAGCAUGGAAUAAUAGAAUAGGACUUGGUUCUAUUUUGUUGGUUUGUUGGGACUGAGUAAUGAUUAAGAGGGACAGUUGGGGGCAUUUGUAUUUCGGUGCUAGAGGUGAAAUUCUUAGAUUACCGAAAGACAAACUGCUGCGAAAGCGUCUGCCAAGGAUGUUUUCAUUGA